UAUUCUGCCCCAUGGGGAAGGAUGAGAAGCUUCGACUAAGGUUCGACUCGAGCGCCAGCGAGAGAACGUUGCCACAGGCAACGGCCCGAAGGGCGAGGCGCUUUAGCGCCGA
RNAcentral lists this small RNA (112 nucleotides) under Klebsiella pneumoniae. Its description in RNAcentral is "partial RtT sRNA". It matches the Rfam family "RtT RNA", at positions 1 to 109 of the family's 130-position model. From Rfam's summary of the family: This family represents a bacterial cis-regulatory element known as RtT RNA. The exact function of RtT is unknown although it is thought that it may be involved in changing the cellular response in relation to amino acid starvation. RNAcentral also lists the same sequence under 1 other name. Lineage: Bacteria; Pseudomonadati; Pseudomonadota; Gammaproteobacteria; Enterobacterales; Enterobacteriaceae. The record is from RNAcentral.